Molecule: ribosomal RNA, 129 nt
Filed under: uncultured rumen bacterium
Lineage: Bacteria
Description: partial 16S ribosomal RNA
Rfam family: Bacterial small subunit ribosomal RNA
Source: RNAcentral
AAACCCUGACCCAGCAACGCCGCGUGAGGGAAGAAGGUUUUCGGAUCGUAAACCUCUGUCCUUGGUGAAGAGGAAGAGACGGUAGCCAAGGAGGAAGCCCCGGCUAACUACGUGCCAGCAGCCGCGGUA